Molecule: ribosomal RNA, 1395 nt
Filed under: synthetic construct
Also listed under: 1 other name
Description: bacterial SSU rRNA
Rfam family: Bacterial small subunit ribosomal RNA
Source: RNAcentral
AGAGUUUGAUCCUGGCUCAGGAUGAACGCUGGCGGCGUGCUUAACACAUGCAAGUCGAACGAAGCACUUUAUUUGAUUUCCUUCGGGACUGAUUAUUUUGUGACUGAGUGGAGGACGGGUGAGUAACGCGUGGGUAACCUGCCUUGUACAGGGGGAUAACAGUUGGAAACGGCUGCUAAUACCGCAUAAGCGCACAGCAUCUCAUGAUGCAGUGUGAAAAACUCCGGUGGUAUAAGAUGGACCCGCGUAGGAUUAGAUAGUUGGUGAGGUAACGGCUCACCAAGUCAACGAUCUGUAGCCGAACUGAGAGGAUGAUCGGCCGCAUUGGGACUGAGACACCGCCCAUACUCCUACAGGAGGCAGCAGUGAGGAAUAUUGCGCAAUGGGGGCAACCCUGACGCAGCAACGCCGCGUGCAGGAAGAACGUCUUCUGAUUGUAAACUGUUGUCGCAAGGGAAGAAGACAGUGACGGUACCUUGUGAGAAAGUCACGGCUAACUACGUGCCAGCAGCCGCGGUAAUACGUAGGUGACAAGCGUUGUCCGGAUUUACUGGGUGUAAAGGGCGCGUAGGCGGACUGUCAAGUCAGUCGUGAAAUACCGGGGCUUAACCCCGGGGCUGCGAUUGAAACUGACAGCCUUGAGUAUCGGAGAGGAAAGCGGAAUUCCUAGUGUAGCGGUGAAAUGCGUAGAUAUUAGGAGGAACACCAGUGGCGAAGGCGGCUUUCUGGACGACAACUGACGCUGAGGCGCGAAAGUGUGGGGAGCAAACAGGAUUAGAUACCCUGGUAGUCCACACCGUAAACGAUGGAUACUAGGUGUAGGAGGUAUCGACCCCUUGUGUCCCUCAGUUAACACAAUAAGUAUCCCACCUGGGGAGUACGUCCGCAAGGUUGAAAUUCAAAGGAAUUGACGGGGGCCCGCCCAAGCAGUGGAGUAUGUGGUUUAAUUGGAAGCAACGCGAAGACCCUUACCUGGGCUUGACAUCCUUGGAAUCGAGUAGAGAUACUUGAGUUCCUUCGGGAAUCAGGUGACAGGUGGUGCAUGGUUGUCUUCAGCUCGUGUCGUGAGAUGUUGGGUUAAUUCCCGCAACGAGCGCAACCCCUAUUGUCAGUUCCCAUCAUUAAGUUGGGCACUCUGGCGAGACUGCCGGUGACAAAUCGGAGGAAGGUGGGGACGACGUCAAAUCAUCAUGCCCCUUAUGCCCAGGGCUACACACGUACUACAAUGGCGGAUACCAAAGUGCAGCGAAACCGUGAGGUGGAGCGAAUCACAAAACUCGGUCUCAGUUCAGAUUGCAGUCUGCAACUCGCCUGCAUGAAGUUGGAAUUGCUAGUAAUCGCGGAUCAGAAUGCCGCGGUGAAUACGUUCCCGGGCCUUGCACUCACCGCCCGUCA